This 917-nucleotide long non-coding RNA is filed under the name Nicotiana benthamiana. RNAcentral's name for it is "long non-coding RNA (NBEN_LNC008847)". Lineage: Eukaryota; Viridiplantae; Streptophyta; Magnoliopsida; Solanales; Solanaceae. The record is from RNAcentral.
ACUCGAAAAUUAUCCUACCAAAUACGAAUUCAAUAUAAACUAAAACCCAACAGAAUAUUCAAACCCACAACUAGCAGUAAAGAAAAUAUCAUUCUCUUUGUUUGAAGUCGGCAUUCAACAAAGCAAAGAAAGCCAAAAAAAGGAUGGAUUCAUACGUUAAACUAAAGGUAUGGCGAGAACUCCACAGUGCAUAAUAUUUUACGAACGAAAAACCAACAUUAUAAUUCAUUACUAGUAUUUAAAUAUCCUAAACAAGAAAUCAACACCAUUAGAUGAAGUAAGAUGGAAAGAAUUGAACCUGAAAAUUGAAAUUUUCGAUUGAUGAAGUCGUCUACAAUUACACGGACAAGAACAGAACACAGUUACAAUCGAAACUCCGAUCGACAGAAAUCUCAAACACGAACAAGGACAUAAUCUUGAAUCGACACCCAAAAACUCAAAAACAAAGCCACCUCAAUCAAAAUCCAUCGGAUUCCAAAUGGAAAAUCCAAAACAAAAGCUGUAAUUUGAAAUACAAAUCAGAAUGAUUUGAACCGGAAAUCAAGAUUUAACCAUCCGUUUCCCCUCAUUUUGCCUCGUUUUCUUUUCUUUUUUUUUUUUUUUUGUUGAUAUUUUCCGUCCUUCUUUUGCUUUGUUUCCUUUUUUUCAAAUGCUUUUGUCGAUUUUCUCCUUUCUUUGUGUGCUUUUCUUUUUAUUUUUUGUAGUGUGGGAGUUGUGAUUUUUUAUGGAGGAGAAGGACCAUUCUAUCUUCUCUUUGUUGCGGCUGGUUUUUGUUAAAAUCGAAUAAGAAGCAUCAAUGGCUGCCGCGCUUGAUUCUGUCUAGGUUAGAGAUUUUUUUCAGAGAAGAUCCUCUUUGAAACGGCUGAUUCAAUAUCUUUUGGGAUGUCGGUCUAUGUAGAGAUUAGAUUAGUGAUAUG